This 245-nucleotide ribosomal RNA is filed under the name uncultured Lactobacillus sp. Its description in RNAcentral is "partial 16S ribosomal RNA". It matches the Rfam family "Bacterial small subunit ribosomal RNA", at positions 118 to 354 of the family's 1533-position model. The record is from RNAcentral. Lineage: Bacteria; Bacillati; Bacillota; Bacilli; Lactobacillales; Lactobacillaceae.
UGGGGAACCUGCCCCAUAGUCUGGGAUACCACUUGGAAACAGGUGCUAAUACCGGAUAAGAAAGCAGAUCGCAUGAUCAGCUUUUAAAAGGCGGCGUAAGCUGUCGCUAUGGGAUGGCCCCGCGGUGCAUUAGCUAGUUGGUAAGGUAAAGGCUUACCAAGGCGAUGAUGCAUAGCCGAGUUGAGAGACUGAUCGGCCACAUUGGGACUGAGACACGGCCCAAACUCCUACGGGAGGCAGCAGGU